GAGGGCAUAGCUCAGGGGCAGGGGGCGUGCUUAGCAUGCACGAGGUCCUGGGUUCAAUCCCCGGUACCUCUA
This 72-nucleotide transfer RNA is filed under the name Camelus bactrianus (Bactrian camel). It matches the Rfam family "tRNA". Rfam says of the family: Transfer RNA (tRNA) molecules are approximately 80 nucleotides in length. Their secondary structure includes four short double-helical elements and three loops (D, anti-codon, and T loops). Lineage: Eukaryota; Metazoa; Chordata; Mammalia; Artiodactyla; Camelidae. RNAcentral also lists the same sequence under 2 other names. The record is from Rfam by way of RNAcentral.